CCUACGGGAGGCAGCAGUAGGGAAUAUUGCGCAAUGGGGGAAACCCUGACGCAGCAACGCCGCGUGGAGGAUGAAGGUUUUCGGAUUGUAAACUUCUUUUGUUAGAGAAGAUAAUGAUGGUAUUAAAUGAAUAAGCACCGGCUAACUCCGUGCCAGCAGCCGCGGUAAUACGGAGGGUGCAGGCGUUACUCGGAAUCACUGGGCGGAAAGAGCGCGUAGGCGGGAAAGCAAGUCAGAUGUGAAAUCCUAUGGCUUAACCAUAGAGCUGCAUUUGAAACUGUUAUUCUGGAGUAUGGGAGAGGUAGGUGGAAUUCUUGGUGUAGGGGUAAAAUCCGUAGAGAUCAAGAGGAAUACUCAUUGCGAAGGCGACCUGCUAGAACGUAACUGACGCUGAUGCGCGAAAGCGUGGGGAGCAAACAGGAUUAGAUACCCUUGUAGUC
This 440-nucleotide ribosomal RNA is filed under the name uncultured bacterium. RNAcentral's name for it is "partial 16S ribosomal RNA". It matches the Rfam family "Bacterial small subunit ribosomal RNA", at positions 338 to 795 of the family's 1533-position model. The record is from RNAcentral.